This 1295-nucleotide long non-coding RNA is filed under the name Phasianus colchicus (ring-necked pheasant). RNAcentral describes it as "lncRNA (ENSPCLG00000004976.1)". Lineage: Eukaryota; Metazoa; Chordata; Aves; Galliformes; Phasianidae. The record is from RNAcentral.
UGCAAGACCUUCCAGCUCUAUUCCAGUCUUCAUUAAAUCAUCACUGAAUACAAAGAAGUGAAUUGCACUGGAUUAGUCAAGUGUCUGCAUGGAUUUCUAAGGAAUGAGAGCGAUCGUGGUCAUCUGCAAGGAAUCAGUUUUCAAAGAAGCAUUUGAUGGACUGACACCCACUGGAGCCAGGGACAAGAUGAAAUGCACUCAUUCAAAGCAGAUUAGGACUUACUGUUCUGGAAAUCAACUGAGUUUUGAAGAGGCUGAUGAAGCUGAAUUCCAAAGCUACCAAUCUGUUUUUUAAACUGUGUUGGGAUUCAGACUGGCAAUAGCAAAAAGGGGUUUUUACACCACAGAGUGGUCAUCCCUAUCUGACAACGAUGGAAAACUGUGACUGUUCAAUAGCUGUUGAUGGUUCUUUUACAAGGGAUUAAUGUGAUGCCUACUGAGUGACACAGGGCCUUGCUCUCAUCACGAGAUUCCAAGGUACUGCUCUGUGAGGACCACAGCCAGCUGAGAACUGAAAGCUAUGGGAGAGUGUGGCAUGCUUUGUAGAGAGAGCAGCAGUAAGGAGAAAUGCUAAAUAUAUCAGACAAAUCAUCUCUUCUUUCAUUGAACAGCUCCGUUCAUGUCCUCUGAUCCUGUUGGUAAGAGCCUUGAAUUUAAUUUCUACUGUCCCCCACCCAAUAUUUCUCAUGCAUUUGUUAUAUAGCUUCCUGCAAUCUCAUUUAUUGCUCUCCAGAGCUUACAGAAUGUGUGCUUCCUGCAAACUUCAAUUUAUAUUUUCGCCAUUAACUAUAGAUACUCCUUUGUUUGCACACUUAGAGAACUUUCAGUAUUAAGUAUCGGUGUGUUAACAUGGAAGAAACUGAAAAGAAACUAUUUCUUGGUUGGAAUUGAUCGGGUUCUCAGCUGAACGGUUGCAUUUCAGGUUGUUGGAAUUACACAGAAGCAGCUCUUCCGUUUCCCAUUGGCUGUACUGUCUUUUCUGCGUAUCCAGGUUCAGAAGCAGCAAAGCCUUGGGUUUGGGUUUCCUUUUUCAUUUGUUCCCUUGAGGAAUGCUAGUAGGGAACAGUCAAGUGAACAAGAGCUGACGCUAGCUCUGCUUUAGAAACCAUUCAUGCUUUUCAGGUGUCCAGCUCCCGAACUACUCAGGGCAGGAGGGGAAAUGUAAACAUUGUGCUGUUAUUCAACCUACUACAUAAGAGCAUUGAGCCUGACAAGGCUCUGGGUACCCCCGUGCCCCAUCCUUGCCGAGAUCGGACGCCGAUAUCCCUCCUGCUGACAUGCAAUCCAGCAGCACA